AAGAGAAAGUGAAAGUAAGAAGUUUGUACUCCGCGCCCCUGACGCUGCAGUACGUGCUGUUCAGGAAGAGCUGCGUCACGAUGCGUCACUGUCACGUUAGGCACAGGUGAUGAUGGGACACAUGGUCACGAGGAAGGCUUUGGGUCAGUGUGGACCUUGGAAAAUUCACAAUCAAAUCACUGACAUGGAGUGGCGAGCUGUCCUUCUUGGAUGUAUUGGAGACCUAUAUGGACACCCACAAUCUUCUUGUUGCCAGCAGCACAUGGAUUAAUUCAUCAAACUUCAGUGGAUUGACCCAGUGACAAGGAUCUUCUGUUGGACCUGGUUUGGACCUAGUUUGGACCUGGUUUGGACCUGCAACAAGGCGUGUCCGACUGGGAUUUCCCUGAUCCUGGUCUAGACUAAUGAUUCAGCACCGCCUCCUCAUUGUCGUGCUGUUGCGUCACGUUUUCCACUGGGAGUACUAAUCAAGUCCACGUAAU
Boleophthalmus pectinirostris (great blue-spotted mudskipper) is the source of this 482-nucleotide long non-coding RNA. RefSeq lists it as uncharacterized. The record is from RefSeq and is a predicted model, not a curated record. The transcript is spliced from 4 exons. Lineage: Eukaryota; Metazoa; Chordata; Actinopteri; Gobiiformes; Gobiidae.